UACGUAGGGUGCAAGCGUUAAUCGGAAUUACUGGGCGUAAAGCGUGCGCAGGCGGUUGUGUAAGACAGAUGUGAAAUCCCCGGGCUCAACCUGGGAACUGCAUUUGUGACUGCACAGCUGGAGUGCGGCAGAGGGGGAUGGAAUUCCGCGUGCAGCAGUGAAAUGCGUAGAUAUGUGGAGGAACACCGAUGGCGAAGGCAGCCUCCUGGGCCAGCACUGACGCUCAUGCACGAGAGCGUGGGGAGCAAACAGG
RNAcentral lists this ribosomal RNA (253 nucleotides) under uncultured bacterium. RNAcentral's name for it is "partial 16S ribosomal RNA". It matches the Rfam family "Bacterial small subunit ribosomal RNA", at positions 524 to 776 of the family's 1533-position model. The record is from RNAcentral.